UCCCGGUUAACCCGGGCAGUCUCAUUAGAGUUCCCACCUUAAAUGUUGGCAACUAAUGAUAAGGGUUGCGCUCGUUGCGGGACUUAACCCAACACCUCACGGCACGAGCUGACGACAGCCAUGCAGCACCUGUGCAGCAGUCCCGAAGGAAAGCGCCAUCUCUGGCGCGGUCUACUGCAUGUCAAGCCUGGGUAAGGUUUUUCGCGUUGCAUCGAAUUAAACCACAUGCUCCACUGCUUGUGCGGGUCCCCGUCAAUUCUUUUGAGUUUCAGCCUUGCGACUGUACUCCCCAGGCGGUAUACUUAACGCGUUAGCUCCGACACAGCCGGGGUUGAUUCCAGCUACAUCAAGUAUACAUCGUUUACAGCAAGGACUAC
RNAcentral lists this unclassified non-coding RNA (377 nucleotides) under uncultured Parachlamydiaceae bacterium. RNAcentral's name for it is "contains 16S-23S intergenic spacer region". Lineage: Bacteria; Pseudomonadati; Chlamydiota; Chlamydiia; Parachlamydiales; Parachlamydiaceae. The record is from RNAcentral.